Molecule: non-coding RNA, 21 nt
Filed under: Caenorhabditis elegans
Lineage: Eukaryota; Metazoa; Nematoda; Chromadorea; Rhabditida; Rhabditidae
Source: RNAcentral
UGUAGAAUGUAUAACGUUCAA